This 268-nucleotide long non-coding RNA is filed under the name Salvia miltiorrhiza (redroot sage). RNAcentral's name for it is "long non-coding RNA (SMIL_LNC004499)". Lineage: Eukaryota; Viridiplantae; Streptophyta; Magnoliopsida; Lamiales; Lamiaceae. The record is from RNAcentral.
GCGCCUCAAUUAAUGCAUUCACAGAAAUUGGUCUUAAUUUUGGUGUGGGCUUCUUUAAUUGGAUCAAAUAAUUUGCCUUAUAUUUGAUCAAUUAUUUUUUUUGCAUUUCAGUUUUGACUUCUAAUUUAUUCAAAAUCAUUUUUUUCCUUUUUUUUUAAUUGGACUAAUUUAAAGUUAUUAAAAUUGAUACUAUUCGGAUAUACAAAAGACAUUAUAAUAUUGAAUUUGAUAUUAUAAAUUGGAUCAAAUAAUUUGCCUUAUAGUUGAU